AAGACUAUAGACCUGCGGAGUACCUGCGGAAGGAUCAUUACAGAGAACCUGCCCUUAGGGUAGAUCUCCCCACCCUUUGUUUACUUUACCUUUGUUGCUUUGGCAGGUCCGUCGUUGACCACCGGCGUUAGCUGGUCAGUGCCUGCCAGAGGACAGCCAACUCUUGAUUUUAUGUCGUCUGAGUUUACAAAUAGUCGUCAAAACUUUUAGCAACGGAUCUCUAGAUCGGAAGAGCACACG
Molecule: unclassified non-coding RNA, 240 nt
Filed under: soil metagenome
Description: partial contains 5.8S ribosomal RNA, internal transcribed spacer 2, and large subunit ribosomal RNA
Source: RNAcentral